This 483-nucleotide ribosomal RNA is filed under the name uncultured bacterium. RNAcentral's name for it is "partial 16S ribosomal RNA". It matches the Rfam family "Bacterial small subunit ribosomal RNA", at positions 30 to 506 of the family's 1533-position model. The record is from RNAcentral.
AUUGAACGCUGGCGGCAGGCCUAACACAUGCAAGUCGAGCGGAUGAAGGGAGCUUGCUCCUGGAUUCAGCGGCGGACGGGUGAGUAAUGCCUAGGAAUCUGCCUGGUAGUGGGGGAUAACGUCCGGAAACGGGCGCUAAUACCGCAUCCGUCCUGCGGGAGAAAGUGGGGGAUCUUCGGACCUCACGCUCUCAGAUGAGCCUAGGUCGGAGUAGCUAGUUGGUGGGGUAAAGGCCUACCAAGGCGCCGAUCUGUAACUGGUCUGAGAGGAUUAUCAGUCACACGGAAACUGAGACACGGUCCAGACCCCUACGGGAGGCAACAGGGGGGAAUAUUGGACAGGGGGCGAAAGCCUGAGCCAGCCAUGCCGCGUGUGUGAAGAAGGUCUUCGGAUUGUAAAGCACUUUAAGUUGGAAGGAAGGUCAGUAAGUUAAUACCUUGCUGUUUUGACGUUACCAACAGAAUAAGCACCGGCUAACUUCGU